Molecule: non-coding RNA, 28 nt
Filed under: Bombyx mori (domestic silkworm)
Lineage: Eukaryota; Metazoa; Arthropoda; Insecta; Lepidoptera; Bombycidae
Source: RNAcentral
UUUCUAAACAACAAUGAGCUUGAUGAGA